CAGACCUAUAAUCGGAAAAGACUACCCGCUGAGU
RNAcentral lists this ribosomal RNA (34 nucleotides) under Drepanocladus turgescens. Its description in RNAcentral is "partial 25S ribosomal RNA". RNAcentral also lists the same sequence under 1 other name. The record is from RNAcentral. Lineage: Eukaryota; Viridiplantae; Streptophyta; Bryopsida; Hypnales; Amblystegiaceae.